Molecule: ribosomal RNA, 777 nt
Filed under: uncultured Neocallimastigales
Lineage: Eukaryota; Fungi; Neocallimastigomycota; Neocallimastigomycetes; Neocallimastigales
Description: partial large subunit ribosomal RNA
Rfam family: Eukaryotic large subunit ribosomal RNA
Source: RNAcentral
UAUGUGAUCGUCUCUCGCAUAUCAAUAAGCGGAGGAAAAGAAACUAACAAGGAUUCCCCUAGUAACGGCGAGUGAAGCGGGAAGAGCUCAAAUUUGAAAUCUUAAAGGGUUUCCCUUUACGAAUUGUAGUUUAAAGAAGUGUUUUCUGUUGAGGUUUUGGUAAAAGUUCUUUGGAAUAGGGACAUCAUAGAGGGUGAGAAUCCCGUAUUUGACCUUUACUUUCAACUUUGUGAUACACUUUCCAAAGAGUCGGAUUGUUUGGGAAUGCAGUCCAAAAUGGGUGGUAAAUUUCAUCUAAAGCUAAAUAUUGGCGAGAGACCGAUAGCGAACAAGUACCGUGAGGGAAAGAUGAAAAGAACUUUGAAAAGAGAGUUAAACAGUACGUGAAAUUGUCAAAAGGGAAGCGUUUGACACCAGUGUUGUUUUUCUGAAAAUCAAUUAAAGAACUGUUUAUGCUAAGCUGUUUAGACUUUAUCAGCUAUCUGUUUAGUUUUGAGCUUUUCUUUAAUGCACUUUUCAGUUAACAAGUCAACAUCAAUUUCUUUUGCUGUAAAAAAAGCUUGAGGAAGGUGGCUUGAGAUUCGUCUCAAGUGUUUAUAGCCUCUUGCCUAUGCAGUCGGAGAGAUUGAGGUCUGCAGCGUAGAUCCUUCGGGGCUAAAUGCAUUUGUGCUAAGUUAUAGCAUUUUAUAGACAACUUGUUGACUAUGAUUUGUCUUGUAGCUUACUCGCUUAUGUUAUUUUACCUACGCUUAGGAUGUUGAUCUGUAGUGCGUGCGC